UGCAAGUCGAACGCGAAAGGGACUUCGGUCCUGAGUAAAGUGGCGCACGGGUGAGUAACGCGUAGAUAACCUGUCUUUAUGUCUGGAAUAAUACGCCGAAAGGGGUACUAAUACCGGAUAUUUUUGCAUUGCAUAAGCAGUGUAAGCAAAGGUGGCCUCUGACAUAAGCUACUGCAUAAAGAGGGGUCUGCGUACCAUUAGCUAGUAGGUGGGGUAAAGGCCUACCUAGGCUACGAUGGUUAGCGGGUCUGAGAGGAUGAUCCGCCACACUGGCACUGGAACACGGGCCAGACUCCUACGGGAGGCAGCAGUGAGGAAUAUUGCGCAAUGGGGGCAACCCUGACGCAGCGACGCCGCGUGAGUGAGGAAGGCCUUCGGGUCGUAAAGCUCUGUCAAAGGGAAAGAAGUGCAUGGUGGUUAAUACCUGCCAUGUUUGACGGUACCCUUAAAGGAAGCACCGGCUAACUCCGUGCCAGCAGCCGC
Molecule: ribosomal RNA, 483 nt
Filed under: uncultured bacterium
Lineage: Bacteria
Description: bacterial SSU rRNA
Rfam family: Bacterial small subunit ribosomal RNA
Source: RNAcentral